UACGGAGGAUGCGAGCGUUAUCCGGAUUUAUUGGGUUUAAAGGGUGCGUAGGCGGGCUGUUAAGUCAGCGGUAAAGCCCGGGGCUCAACCCCGGCGAGCCGUUGAAACUGGCUGUCUUGAGAUGUCGAGAGGUAUGCGGAAUGCGCAGUGUAGCGGUGAAAUGCUUAGAUAUUGCGCAGAACUCCGAUUGCGAAGGCAGCAUACCGGCGGCGAUCUGACGCUGAGGCACGAAAGCGUGGGUAUCGAACAGG
This 251-nucleotide ribosomal RNA is filed under the name uncultured bacterium. RNAcentral's name for it is "partial 16S ribosomal RNA". It matches the Rfam family "Bacterial small subunit ribosomal RNA", at positions 524 to 776 of the family's 1533-position model. The record is from RNAcentral.